RNAcentral lists this long non-coding RNA (705 nucleotides) under Monodelphis domestica (gray short-tailed opossum). RNAcentral's name for it is "lncRNA (ENSMODG00000049812.1)". The record is from RNAcentral. Lineage: Eukaryota; Metazoa; Chordata; Mammalia; Didelphimorphia; Didelphidae.
GAUCUUUUUUUCACUUCUCUCUCAACAUAUUGCAUCCUUCCCCACUAGAAAGGAAAAUUUCAAUUCAACAAACUUUUAUUCUCUAUUAGCUACUGCUGGGUCCUUUGCCUUUUGAAGAUAAGGAUGCUUUUUUCUUAAGGAUUUCUGUCCCCAGCACCUAGCACCUAGUAUUUCACCUCUUUUUCUUCAGAAUCAUAGCUCAAACCCGAUAAUCAAAAUUCUAUGCCUGUAAUCUCUGCUACUAUAGGUGAGACUGAGGCCAGCAGAUCUCUUGAGCACCAGAUUUCUAUGUUGCAGUGGGCUAAGCUAAUUGGGUAUCCACAUCGUGUUUGACACUAAUAUGGUGAGCUUCUUGGAGUGAAAGCUCACCAAGCUGCCUAAAGAUGGGAGAAUUGAAUUUUCUUUCUUCCCUUCUCUGAUUUUUUAUUUUCUUUUCACCUUUCCUUUCUCCUUCCCCUUUCUUUUUCUCUUCCCCUCAUUUCUUCUCCUUACUAUUUCUCUCCCCCCUUCAACUUCAAACAAUUCUUCAUUUCUUUCAUUUCCUCUCUCACUUCUGCCUCUAGGAGAUCCCAGUUUCCUUCCCUCUCAAGCACCAAGACAUCAGUGUACAUGCCCUAGAUUACGUAGGUACAAUUUUAAAUAACAACUUUCUGACAUUUUUCAAUCUGUGUUCUCCUCCAUCCCUGCUCUUUCCCCAAGAUGGUA